GCCGGAGUAGCACAACGGUGGUGCGCCGCUUUCGUAAAGCGGAGGUUGCGGGUUCAAAUCCCGCCUCUGGCUCCA
This 75-nucleotide transfer RNA is filed under the name Planctomycetota bacterium. RNAcentral's name for it is "tRNA-Thr". It matches the Rfam family "tRNA". From Rfam's summary of the family: Transfer RNA (tRNA) molecules are approximately 80 nucleotides in length. Their secondary structure includes four short double-helical elements and three loops (D, anti-codon, and T loops). The record is from RNAcentral. Lineage: Bacteria; Pseudomonadati; Planctomycetota.